UUAGAAUCAAGAUGCUUGUUUAAACAAGACUAUAUGCUAACAAGGUAAAUGACAGUAGACUGGAAUAAGCGUGAUGAUACGACACCAAAAGGCUUAAAGAAGUGGCUUAUUUUAUCAAUUGAAUUAAAUUAAGAAAACAUGGUUUCAGAUAUUCGGGUUUAUCCCUUAUAAAAGCUACCUUUGUAAAACAUGGGUUUUAUUCCAUCUAUUUAAUAAAUAAAAUUCGGUGUUUUCUAAACUCUGAUAUUUUCCCUAACUCACGGUCCUGAUGAACAUUUCUGCUGCAAUAUUUUUAAAAUAACCACCGGUACCACUUGACGGCUCGCGGCUUCCAUCCAGGGUGUGGAUGGGGGUCGUGACAGCCAGGUUUUCGAUAAAUAUGGUUCAAGCGACGGUAAUGACACCAGGUUUUCAGACACAGCAACCGCGCGUAACCAUCGAUUGUCUUUGUUGAUUAUAUCAUCGGAGAAUCCUCAUUAUCUAGUUGUCUAUGUUGAUUUCAGUCAAUAUCUCAUCAAGUGUAAGUUAUAAAUCUACUAAAAGCUUCUUUCUUUUCUUCAUAUAAAUUCAUUUGCAUGUGUAAUGUUUGUUAAACUGGAUAGAUGUAUUUGAGUGCAUUUGGUAUAAUAGUGUGUGUUUCAUGUUGUAGUAAUAAGAGGAUUAUAAAAAAAUUGAUUGCUUGACCUGAUUAGGAUGGGUGUUAAAUUAGGGUUCCUAAAGCUAAAUUGGGGGGGUUUUAUUUAGUUGGCUCCAAGUGGUAUUCUUGUGAUGAAAGGGUUAUAGAAUUGAUGAAGGAACCUUAGAACUCCCUUAUUCACAUAAUAUACAAAAAGAUGUCAUUGAAUGAAUAAUAUACAUGUUUAAUAGCAAGUUGUUAUAAGAACUAGGCUAGUCUAGUUCAAAAGGUGACCGAGGUAUUUGCAGAGUUAACAUAUCUUUUAAAUGGAGAAAUAGAUUCACCCGUUGUAGGUUGUAUUUCUAUAUCAUACUACCUACAACAGUGAUUGUUCAGUUUAUACCAGGCCUGGCAAAAGAGUCCAGCCUGCUUAAAACGGGUCAUCUAAUUAAAGUGUCAGUUUGGUCGGGUUAAAAUGGUUGAACAUAAACAAAAGGCAGGUAUCAAAGGGGAUAUAAAUUUACUACUAAAACUGGCAUUUCAGUUGCAUUCAGGUACAACAUAAGUGGUAAAAGGAAUGCUUAUUCUUAUUUAGGUACAGCUUCCGAACUGGUACCCGGUACCAUUUGCUCAUCCUUACUCGCAAACAUAUGCACAACUGUUAAAAAUCAUUUCCUAAUAAAAUUAGAUCAUCAAAGUGAACCGGAUCGUGUAUAAUGUUAUGGACCAGCUUGAGUUAUGACUAAGAGGGUGUUUGGGGUUGAGUUUUGAAGGAGAUUUUUAGAUUAUUGAGUUUUGAAAUCAUAAAUUAUCAGUUUUGAGUGUUUGGGUAAAAAAAAUUAAAAAAUUGAUUGUUUGCGUUUAGAAAGUUACAAAACGCAGUUUUCCAAAAGCAACUCCCCCCUACUGCAACAAAACGCAGUUUUCCAAAAAUUGAUUAUUUGCGUUUUUAAAAGGAUUUUCACUUGUUUAUUUUUAAAUAUAUAUUUGCCAAAUACUCAAAUAGUUGAUUAUCUGAUUAUUGUGAUAUCAAGCAACAUAAUCAAAUCCAAACACUAUCUUUCAACAUCACGUUUUGUUACAGUUAAUUAUCUGAUUCUGGUUAUUCAAAACGCGCAAUCUAUUUUCAAAACUCAACCCUAAACACCCUCUAAAAUAAAGUAUUUUUGAAGAGUUCUGCUUACCCAGGUGUUUUAAUUUGUUCCCAAAAAUUCAUAGUUUCAUAUAUGUACAGCUUCUUCUUUCCUCAAAAUGGUGAUAAUAUCUUAACCCAAUCUUACAAAAUCUGCAGGAAGACUCCUGUCAUAUGAGACACACUUGUAUCACAACAAAGCAUUUGAAUAAACAUUGUUAUCAAUUAUUAGAACACAUAAGUUUUACAUAGUCAAUUAUGUCGUUAAAAAAUAGGGAAGUUUUAGUCACCGCAUUAGUAGCUUGUUGCUGACUCUGGCUAUAGGGCUUCAAAGUUGUAUAGACAUCUUAAAUUAGCUGCAUUGGAAUCAAAGAAGAUGGAUGUCACACCCACAAAAUACCACCUAGGGAAUGUCCCUGUUAGGCGUGUGACAUACCAAUAACGAGCCACUAAUUACAUUGAACGCGUACAAGUUUCAAAAUAAAUUCCGUAAUUAUUAAUAAAAUACCACCAUCAAGUUUAAGUGAAAACCAUAGAUAUUCAGCGGAAGCAAAAUUAAACAGUUUCAAAACCAAAGUAUAGUAUCAAGAAAUCAAUAACACAAAUCCAUCCAGUCGACCCAUGACCGCUCCAGCUACUCCAAACAGCAAGUUCCCAAUGCAAGACAUCUAACGACCUACAAGCAUGCAAACAAGUGUGUCAGACGACGCUGGUGAGUUCAAAGUUUUGUUACCGAGUAUAGUUACCAGAUACAUGUAUAAAACAGUUUAUCAAUUUGAUUUGAUGUUGUUAUUAACUCUAUUACCGAAAUGGCUACAAGAUGUGUUUGC
Molecule: long non-coding RNA, 2578 nt
Filed under: Helianthus annuus (common sunflower)
Lineage: Eukaryota; Viridiplantae; Streptophyta; Magnoliopsida; Asterales; Asteraceae
Description: hypothetical non coding rna
Source: RNAcentral